GUGACCUCGGUACAGGUAG
Molecule: ribosomal RNA, 19 nt
Filed under: Microdochium bolleyi
Lineage: Eukaryota; Fungi; Ascomycota; Sordariomycetes; Xylariales; Microdochiaceae
Description: partial 28S ribosomal RNA
Source: RNAcentral